GACGAACGCUGGCGGCGUGCCUAAUACAUGCAAGUCGAACGCUUCUUUCCUCCCGAGUGCUUGCACUCAAUUGGAAAGAGGAGUGGCGGACGGGUGAGUAACACGUGGGUAACCUACCCAUCAGGGGGGGAUAACACUUGGAAACAGGUGCUAAUACCGCAUAACAGUUUAUGCCGCAUGGCAUAAGAGUGAAAGGCGCUUUCGGGUGUCGUUGAUGGGUGGACCCGCGGUGCAUUAGCUAGUUGGUGAGGUAACGGCUCACCAAGGCCACGAUGCAUAGCCGACCUGAGAGGGUGAUCGGCCACACUGGGACUGAGACACGGCCCAGACUCCUACGGGAGGCAGCAGUAGGGAAUCUUCGGCAAUGGACGAAAGUCUGACCGAGCAACGCCGCGUGAGUGAAGAAGGUUUUCGGAUCGUAAAACUCUGUUGUUAGAGAAGAACAAGGACGUUAGUAACUGAACGUCCCCUGACGGUAUCUAACCAGAAAGCCACGGCUAACUACGUG
Molecule: ribosomal RNA, 508 nt
Filed under: uncultured bacterium
Lineage: Bacteria
Description: partial 16S ribosomal RNA
Rfam family: Bacterial small subunit ribosomal RNA
Source: RNAcentral